Molecule: long non-coding RNA, 397 nt
Filed under: Medicago truncatula (barrel medic)
Lineage: Eukaryota; Viridiplantae; Streptophyta; Magnoliopsida; Fabales; Fabaceae
Description: lncRNA gene1847
Source: RNAcentral
UACCUUUGCUCAUUAUCUUCCAUUUUUCAUACUUGAAUUAAUCUCUUACUAUUUCUGUAAUAUUAAUUUUUCUUUCAGUUUUUUGCUAUUUAAUUCCCAUUCCUACUGCAAAAACAAAAAAAAAAAAAGCCAAAAACCAAAACUCAAAAAUAGUGAACAAAAGUUAUCUCAUAUAUAUAUUCGCUGCAUUUUUAAUUUCCUAUCAGUCUGUUCAUUUCAAAGAUCGGAGUUUCUUCAACAAGUGAUCAUUUAGUUUUUUUCAUUUCGAAGCCAAUUUGCAUCGGUCUUCACAAUCCAGCAGAUCAUUUAGUUUUUUCAUUUCAAAGCCAAUUUGCAUCGGUCUUCAUAAUCCAGCAGGUAAAUGUCAUCGGGACUUAGAUCUUAUGGUGAGUUUUAG